Hevea brasiliensis (rubber tree) is the source of this 1844-nucleotide RNA transcript. It is a transcript of the gene named FHA domain-containing protein DDL, with no coding region annotated. The transcript has 10 exons. NCBI's taxonomy places the organism in Eukaryota, Viridiplantae, Streptophyta, Magnoliopsida, Malpighiales, Euphorbiaceae. The record is from RefSeq and is a predicted model, not a curated record.
ACCAAUGUCGUUUCUUACUGUCCAAAGAAAAGAAAACCCUAUCUCACGCUCGCCUCUGCAUCUUCAGUCGGUUCAAAACUGAAAAAGGUUUUGAGUAGCAGCAACUACAGGCUUCUCUUUUUCAUCAGCCAGCUACUGCUUUAGGGUUUCAUACUUCGUUUGCGAUGCUUUAUUGACUACCAGCUCGCCGAGGUAAGUUCGUAACUGAACAGUCAGUGAUUGCCAAUGGGGCGUAAUUUGUCUAAUCAUUCACAAUCUCCCAUUAGAGGUCGGGGUUCUCCUCAUAGAAAGAGCCCAUCUCGAAGAGAAAGAUCACCAGCAGCACGACACCGGAGCUCCCAUAGGGAUAGCUCUUCAGCAAGAGAGAAACGCUCAACUCGUACUAAAUCUCCAAAGCAUGAGAUGUCUCACUCUCCCCUUCCGGCACGGCAUAGGAGCUCCCAGAGGGAUAGCUCCCCACAGGCAAGAGAGAAAAAUUAUAGCCCUGAAAAGUCUCGCUCUCCUUCUCCAAGAACAAAGCGGUUAAGGAGGGCGCAGGCUGACAGAGAAACUGAGACUGUAGUGGAGAGGGACCGUGAAAGGAAUCAUGGCAAGGGGGAUGAUAAGGGUAUGCAUAGGGAAAGAGAGACAGAAAAAUUGUUUGAGAGAGAACGUGAGAAAAGUCAUGGCAAGGGAAGUGAUAAGAGUGCACGUAGAGAAAGAGAGGCUGAGAUAUUGACUGAGAGAGAGUAUGAAAAGAAUCAUGGAAGGGUUACUGACAAGAAUACACAUAGAGAAAGAGGUGAAGAUAGGGAUGGAGCUGAGAGAAUGGAGAGAAGGUCAGGGAGAGAUGCAACUGAUGGCAAGUCUUCUAGAGCCAGGAAUGGGCUAUCAACUUCUCCAUCAGAUCACAAUCACAGGAGCAAACAUAGAUCUCGAUCGCCUCUAAGAGAUGCCCAUAGGAGAGAACGUGAUGAGGUGACCAACUCAAGAGGAACAGAACGAAGGAGUGACGUUGAUGAUUCUGUGGCAAAGAUGAAGGCCGCUGAGGAGGCCUUGGAAGCAAAGCAAAAGCAACAACCUUCAUUUGAGCUAUCCGGAAAACUUGCUGCGGAAACCAAUAGAGUUAGAGGUGUUACGCUACUGUUCAACGAGCCUCCAGAUGCUCGCAAACCUGAUAUAAGAUGGCGACUAUAUGUUUUUAAGAAUGGUGAAGUGCUGAAUGAGCCCCUAUAUAUACAUCGUCAGACCUGUUAUCUUUUUGGUAGAGAAAGAAGGGUUGCAGAUAUUCCUACAGACCACCCAUCUUGUAGCAAGCAACAUGCAGUCAUUCAAUUCCGGCAAGUAGAAAAGGAGCAGCCUGAUGGUACCUUAUCUAAGCAAAGGAUUACUGGAGAUACAGUGAAGAAUUCACUAGACACUAUAAGAUGAUAAGGAAAAUGUACUAUAAAAUUUGUUUUGGGAAAAGGGAAUUUGCAGAAUAGGAUUGUGUCAUUGUGGUAAGACGACAGACAGCAACCCACACACAUGUUCAGCUUUCUAAGCUAUUUCGCAUUGUAUGACUUGAAUGAUGACUAGAUAUAGAUGAUGAUUGUGGUGAUCCAUUAUCAUAGGUUGUCUGCUGGACUUGUUAUGACAUAUCCAUGCCGAGAAUACGUACUAUUGCACGAGAAUUCAGCAAGCUGAUAGGUGUCAAUUUGCAUCUCCAAGAUGUUUUUCGGUCUUCAGCAUGUGGGAGAUUUGGGAACACUUUGUUUGUCUACAACACUCUUGUUCUAGGAAACGGGAGAGCUCUAUAUAGCAGUCAUUCUACUUUGAUUAGGAUUGGACAGAACUUAUAUCAAAUGCAAGAACUUAUUUGGUCA